This 886-nucleotide unclassified non-coding RNA is filed under the name Bradyrhizobium sp. Its description in RNAcentral is "partial 16S-23S ribosomal RNA intergenic spacer region". The stretch from base 225 to 298 matches the Rfam family "tRNA". The record is from RNAcentral. Lineage: Bacteria; Pseudomonadati; Pseudomonadota; Alphaproteobacteria; Hyphomicrobiales; Nitrobacteraceae.
GCUCACGCAAUCCUAUUGCAGCAGCAAUCUAUCGGAUCGUUUUAGAAACAUUCAGGGGCCAAUCGAUCGCAAGAUCAUUGAGCUCCAUUGGCGGGAUUUCGCCGUCUUCGUUUCUCUUUCUUCGCGGACGAACACGCGCCAGGGGCUGAGCGCUUGAGCGAUGCAUCGGCGCGAGCCGAUUGCGCGCGAGCUGGCUCCGACAUCUCGCGAGAGAUGAGCGUUAGGGGCUUGUAGCUCAGUUGGUUAGAGCGCGCGCUUGAUAAGCGUGAGGUCGGAAGUUCAAGUCUUCCCAGGCCCACCACUUUGAUCGAGUGCGGAGCAUUCGUCUUCUGGUUACGGGGCCAUAGCUCAGCUGGGAGAGCGCGUGCUUUGCAAGCAUGAGGUCGUCGGUUCGAUCCCGUCUGGCUCCACCAGAUGGAAUCGAAGAUCGAGAAUGCUCGACCAAAAUUGUCCGCGAAACAUCACUUCGCAUUGCGCGAUCCUCACCAGGAUCUGCAUUGCGUGUUUUCUGACAUCGUAAAGAGGAGAUCGAUCCGAGUUUGGAUCAAGCGAAGCAAUUCGCGUGACCCAUUCACUAUCUCCGGGAUUAUUUCGGCGCUCGCUUCAGUCGUGAGAUUGAAUGCGGGUUGUGAAUGAUCCUUUGUUAGCGAAGCUUGACCGCCUCGCUAUCGGGCCGAUCUUACGAAGCAAGCUGGUCUUUCUAGUCAAUGUCCGGCUGUUGCAAUCGCAUUCAUCGAGGAUGCGUGCCUUUAAUGGCAAUUGCGCAGACAACAUUCUGCCGAGUGUGUGGACAUUGAUAAUGAGAGCAAUCAAGUGCCUUAAGGGUGUUCGGUGGAUGCCUUGGCGCUGAGAGGCGAUGAAGGACGUGCUACGCUGCGAUAAGCCG